CUCGGCUCUGAGGGUAUAGUCCCACCUACUGGAAGAGAAGAAAAUAGAACUCUAAGACUUCAUUUAUCAUUUUUUUCUAUUCCUUUUUUCUUUUUUUCCCUUUUCAAUUUUUAUUGUUCUUUCCAUUCUCCUCUAUUCUACCUAUUUUUCUCUCCCUCUUUUUCUUUAAGGACUACUUCCUUCCCCUUCUCCCUAACGUUCACCCCAAGCAUUACGACUUUCAUUACGGGUAAUUUUCUAAAUGCAAAUAGGUAAAUGUUCCGAGGCUGUCUAUAGGGCUUCUAAGUACCUAGCUACUACCAAAUACCCUGAUCCUUUUGCCUGUUAAUAUCCCCCUUCAGUAGAGCAAUCUUCCAAGUUGCCAAGACAUACUACCCUUCAUACCAUCAUAGCACCCAACCUAAACAUAAAGUCCUAAGACCAAACAACAGAUCACUAUAUGCCUACAGAAUCCAUAAGCCUUUUAUGAAUUGAAUGAAUCAGCUUUAAAUUACAAUAAAGCCCAACAGCUCUAGACAUAGUCUCCCACCACAAAGGAGAGACCACAGAGAUAUACAAAACCAAAACAAAAUUUAUAGGAGAAAACAGAAACACAGCAGUUAAACAGAGUUGGAAAGUAACGUGAACACCAUGGAAAAACAAGGGACAAAAAGGAUUACAAACAAUGAAAGAAUACUUUGAAAAUGAAUUACAUAAGCAGAUUCAAGAAGCAAAAAAUCAACUCUACCAGGAGAUAGAGAUUUAAAAAAAAAUCAUACAGUAAUCCUAGAAAUGCAGGAAACCAUAAACCAGAUCAAAAACUGAAAUGAGAAUAUUACAAGUAGACUAGAUCAAAUAGAAGUCAGAACAUCAGAUAAUGAAGACAAAGGUUAUCAACUUGAAAAGAGUAUAGUCAACGCAGAAAGGCUGGUAAGAAACCACGAGCAAAACAUCCAAGAGAUAUGGGAUGUCAUAAAAAAAA
This 961-nucleotide long non-coding RNA is filed under the name Marmota monax (woodchuck). Lineage: Eukaryota; Metazoa; Chordata; Mammalia; Rodentia; Sciuridae. The record is from RNAcentral.